Molecule: RNA transcript, 4176 nt
Organism: Sphaeramia orbicularis (orbiculate cardinalfish)
Lineage: Eukaryota; Metazoa; Chordata; Actinopteri; Kurtiformes; Apogonidae
Gene name: serine/arginine-rich splicing factor 1B
Exons: 5
Source: RefSeq, a predicted model, not a curated record
UGUUAGAUGCAGUGCGCUGUGUGACUUCUCAGUUCAGUGUCAGUUCAGUGUAUUGAGUGGUGUGGUCUGAAUUCUGCACUCUGAAUGUUGUCCCAGUGGCUGAUUUAUAUCAAUGUCGGAUUUACCUACCAGCACCCUUGGUGCUGUUGUCCCCGUUUGAAAAUCUGCAGAAAAAAAGAAGCCACUUCAAUCAGUUAUUGAAGGCUUCGUAGUCCAAAACUUAACUAUCUGAGCUCAGUCUCCGCUGCCUGACAAACCAACCUAUUUGCGAUCUGACUGCCUUGGUACUUUUUGGGAUGUUACAAGUUACCAGUCUAGACAUGAUAUAAUGAGGGCGCUGAUUAGCUCUGUGGUAAUAGACAACCUGAUAUUUAGUGCCAUGGUACUGUGUCAGUAGCCACUUUGUUAUUUUAUACAUUUCUUAAGCAUAUACUACUGUACUUUGACCUUCUUGUGUGUCUCUCUGCACAGUUCAGAGGAACAGAAUAGGAUGGGAACAGAGGAAACAGUUCAUUUUAGGAUAAACAGGAGGAGGAGUCAAAUAUAGCACCAAUGGUAUGAUGGCUGUGCCUUGUCAACUGUGAACUCUGCAUUAUAGGGCUCUUCAGUCAUUUUAUCCUGGCCCAUGCACUCAAUAAUAGUGCUGUUGUAAUAUCCAAAGUUGAUCUUUUUUUUUUCUUUUUUUUUUUUUUUUUUUAUUCAUUAUAGAUGGUGUCCCCAAUAUUUCUCACAGUAAACUCCCUCCUAGAUGCAUUAACUGACAAAUAUAUAUUUAACAGUUUGUGAAGGUGUGAUUCUAACUUGCCUCCUUCUCUUUGGUUUUACUGGUAUUCUAAAGGUUUGGACUGGGCUCUUUGUCUCCCCAUUUCGGAGCUGGAUUAGGAUUAGGCAUCAGGAUGGAUACAUGGAGCAGGAGCACAGGAUCAUUUUUCCCGGGAGAGGAUCCCGAGCCCUGUCCGCAUAUCCCCACAAACUGGAAACAAUAUACAAAAUAUCCUCAAUCAAUUGGCUUCACUUUUUUUCUUUUUUUUUUAAUAUUCCAAAAUAAUUUUUGUCAUAUUUUGCAUAGGACCCAGAGACAAUUACAGAUGUUGUGCUGGUGAUUUUAUUAUUUUACAGAGUUUUUUUUUUUUUUUUUUACUUAAAAAAAAAGAAGAGCAAAAUCUUGGAUCAAAACCAGGAGGAGGGCUGGGAGGUGCAGGAUGGAUCCUCACGCGUAAGGAGAGUGGUAAAUAGGGGGAACCUUUAAUAGUGGAGGAGGGAGGGGAAGAGGGAGGACCGGAAGGCAACAAGGGAAUGUGACUUCAGUUUGGUUUGUAUGUUUUUCUUAGGUCAGUCUCUUGCUGAAGAAAAUGAGUUCUAAAAUUCUCCAGUAUAUUACAGCUUUAUUCUUUUAAAUAAACAUUUCUAAUAAAAAUGUCUGUAAAAUCAUAUCAGUUGUUGUGCUUUUUUUCCCCAGGGUCUUUAGUUGAAAAGGGAUGGACCCCCCAAAAUCCUAAAUAUUACUACACUUAUCUGCUACUUUUUACUAAUGCUUUACUACAAGAAAAGUAUUAUACUUUGUUUUACUCUACAGUUUUUCAUCCUUUUCCUGUUCUGUGUUGGUUUUGAAUAUAUGUGAUAAAAUGAACCAAUUGGAAAAAAAAAUUCUCCACUUUAAGUAAAACCCUCUUGGAUUAACUGGAAAAUGCAUUAUUGUAGUUGAACUACCCAAUAGUUAUUGAAAUGAGCUCAAACUUAACCAUCUGCAGAACUUAAACAUGUCAAUGCAGCAGUAAUAUGGGACCAAAAACAAUGACAAGGGACAGUUCACAACUGAUUACUCUUCAAGCAUUUAACCCAAGUACAUUUUGUUAUUUAGAACAUUUAGCUGUGGGGGUGUAUUGGUACUUGGGCCUUACCUGGACACUUUUCCACUGAGAGAAGCGGAAAGGUAAACAAAUUGCAGCCUAGGGUUUGAAGUCGCAACUGUAGCUUUGACGUGUCCAUGACGUCAUGACGUUUAUGGCGGGGCUGUCUGUGAUUGGCGGAAACUUCCUCCACUGGGUUAACGGGCGAAUGUGCUGAUAGAUUUGUCUAUGCGAACGCACCCUUUACUAAGUAUCUGUUAAAUUAGUUUUGCUUGAAGAAUAACUAACAUAUUUGUAUUGCUGGAAGUCGAACUGUCGCUUGUCUGUCUUUAAAACGUUCGUCAGCCAUAAGGUAGCAUCGUUUUGUUUGGUACUAGCUAGCUGUCACCUUUGUUUUUCCGCUAGCGUUAACAUGUCUGGUGGAGGUGUCAUUCGAGGACCAGCUGGGAGUAACGACUGUCGGAUAUACGUGGGGAAUCUCCCUCCUGACAUCCGCACGAAAGACGUCGAGGACGUGUUCUAUAAAUACGGGAUCAUUCGGGACAUUGAUCUGAAAAACAGAAGAGGAGGUCCACCAUUUGCCUUCGUUGAAUUUGAGGACCCCAGGUUCAUCUGCAGGGAUGCAGAAGAUGCUGUUUACGGGCGUGAUGGUUACGACUAUGAUGGCUACCGUCUGCGUGUUGAGUUUCCUCGAAGUGGACGAGGAGGUGGAAGGGGAGGUGGUGGUGGUGGUGGAGCUUUGGGGGCUCAAAGAGGAAGGUAUGGCCCCCCUUCACGACGCUCUGAGUACAGGGUCAUUGUUUCAGGUCUUCCCCCCAGUGGAAGCUGGCAGGACCUGAAGGAUCACAUGCGAGAGGCAGGUGAUGUAUGUUAUGCAGAUGUGUACCGUGAUGGCACUGGAGUGGUGGAGUUUGUGCGCAAAGAAGACAUGACCUAUGCUGUCCGCAAGCUGGAUAACACUAAGUUUCGCUCUCAUGAGGGAGAAACAGCCUAUAUUCGGGUGAAAAUGGAUGGUCCUCGUAGUCCCAGCUACGGGCGUUCUCGCUCCCGUAGCCACAGUCGAAGCCGGAGCAAGAGUGGUUCACGCAGCUAUUCCCCACGUCGCAACAGAGGAUCUCCACGUUACUCUCCACGGCGUUCCCACUCCAGAUCACGCACUUAAAUACACCUGACCUUAACUGAACCACCAACCAGCUCAGCCCAGCAGCACAUCUCAGAAUGGCGAAGAAAAGCAUCAUGGAACUUACCCUGUACAGUUUCCAUGGACCAUUUGCCAUGUUAAUUGUUUGCUGUUUCUCUUGUUGUUGUCCUUGUUUCACCAGUUUGUUGUUGUGAUUUUAUUUUUCUGCAUUUUGGCUUAUUUAACAAGAUAACAUCUGUUAAAAUUCUUUGGUCUUUGUAUGUUACCCCAAUCCCCUUCUUUACCCCUUCCCUUUGUUUUCUUCCCUCUUGAAAUUACCAAGAUCCCUUGUCUACUAUCCUAAUUUUUCUAUUUUUCUGCACUUUUGCUUGAUUUCAGGUUGUGUGUAUGAAAUGCAACAGUACUUUUGGGGGGAAAUUUGUUGUUUUUGGAGUGUUAAGGUUUUUUCUUUCUUGUCAGCCUUGCAUUUACUAUUGUACUUUGACCUUCUCGUGUGUCUCUCUGUAGAGUUCAAAGGAGCAGGAUAGGAUGGAAACAGAGGAAAAGGAAACACAUUUCAUAUUAGGAUAAACAGGAGGAGGAGGAGUCAAAUAUGGCAACAAUGGUUUGGACUGGGCUCUUUGUCUCCCCAUACCGGAGCCGGAUCAGGAUUCAGGAUCAGAUCAGGAUUAGGAUUAGGCUUCAGGAUGGAUGGAGCAGGAGCAUGGGAGCAUUUUACCGGGAGAGGAUCCAAAUCCCCAGCCCCGGAAAUAUUGUAGUAAAAUACUCUCAAUUAAUUGGCUUGCAAACUGUCAAAACAUAUUUCUUGUGGUACCUCAGGGAUGCAAUCACUGAUGGCAGCCUGAUGAGUGAUUGUCUUUCAGAUUUCAGAUAAUUUUUUUUUAAUUAAGAAGAGCACAGAUUGGAUCAAACCAGGAGGAGGGCAGGAUGGAUCCACGCACGUAAGGAGAGUGGUAAAUAGUGGGAAACCAUUAACAAGGAAGAGGGGGGGACUGGGAGGCAAAUGGGAAACUUUAAUGUGGUAAAUGUUCCUGAGGAUCCGACUUGUGCCUAGAAAGCUGAAGAUGGGUUUUGACUUUAUUAGUUAUUAUUAUUUAUAAUCCCCUAUUAUCAACAACUUGCUUUGUUUUGAAUAAAAGUUCAAUUUACAGUUAACUAUUACUGUGUAGUUCUUUUUAAACAGCA